GCCAGCUUUGCCCACCUCCCAGCUGCUCACCUGCACGGCCCCGGAAGAACAUCAAGCAAACUGGGGGGAGAGGCAGCUUAGGCUGCCCCUGGGGGACCCUGCCAUGAGGCCCCAGGGGAUGUGAGGAGAUCGGAGCACUGUUUGCCUGAAUCCCGACAGACGAACCCUGCUGUCUAGAAGCCAUCAGAGGAAGAGAGUGCCAGGGCAGAGCUGCGUAGCCAUGUGGAAGCAGGAAAUGUGGAUGUGAUGCCCGGAGGUGAAGCAGCCAUUUUUGCAACCAUGAAGAAAAGAAGUCACUGAUAAGGAUGGCAGGGCAAGGAGCUGCAAAGAGCACUCUGGAGUUCCAGCUGUGUCAGAGCCCGUGACCGCCCCUGCACCCUGCCCUUCCAUGGGGCAAAGACCCGUCCACUCGCCACUUCCCAGUGAGUGCAGAUGGGAGGCACGCGGACAUUUGGAGAGGAUGACGUUGGAAAUUCAAGACACAACGGCUCCCAAGACGAGACCGGAAUAGCUCAGUGUUUCUGCUCUCCCAGGCCUGGAGCCUGAC
Oryctolagus cuniculus (rabbit) is the source of this 547-nucleotide non-coding RNA. NCBI's taxonomy places the organism in Eukaryota, Metazoa, Chordata, Mammalia, Lagomorpha, Leporidae. The record is from RefSeq and is a predicted model, not a curated record.